CCUACGGGAGGCAGCAGUGAGGAAUAUUGGUCAAUGGACGAGAGUCUGAACCAGCCAAGUAGCGUGAAGGAUGACUGCCCUAUGGGUUGUAAACUUCUUUUAUAUGGGAAUAAAAUGUUCCACGUGUGGGAUUUUGUAUGUACCAUAUGAAUAAGGAUCGGCUAACUCCGUGCCAGCAGCCGCGGUAAUACGGAGGAUCCGAGCGUUAUCCGGAUUUAUUGGGUUUAAAGGGAGCGUAGGUGGAUUGUUAAGUCAGUUGUGAAAGUUUGCGGCUCAACCGUAAAAUUGCAGUUGAAACUGGCAGUCUUGAGUACAGUAGAGGUGGGCGGAAUUCGUGGUGUAGCGGUGAAAUGCUUAGAGAUCACGAAGAACUCCGAUUGCGAAGGCAGUUCACUGGACUGCAACUGACGCUGAGGCUCGAAAGUGUGGGUAUCAAACAGGAUUAGAUACCCCGGUAGUC
Molecule: ribosomal RNA, 460 nt
Filed under: uncultured bacterium
Lineage: Bacteria
Description: partial 16S ribosomal RNA
Rfam family: Bacterial small subunit ribosomal RNA
Source: RNAcentral